RNAcentral lists this long non-coding RNA (201 nucleotides) under Homo sapiens (human). RNAcentral describes it as "HSALNT0391186". Lineage: Eukaryota; Metazoa; Chordata; Mammalia; Primates; Hominidae. The record is from RNAcentral.
AUAUCCGGGUUCAGGUAGCACCAAGGAGCAGCUGCUCAUCUCAAAUGAAGACGCUGGAGGACUCAGAGCCCCAAAGCAGACAUGAGAACGUGGGGGGAUGCCCUGGCUGAGACCCUCUUAGACACGACAAGCCUUUAGUAUGUAGAACGUGUUCCCUGCUAUCCACAAGCACGAAACUCUAUACAGACUUGACUUUCUCUC